RNAcentral lists this ribosomal RNA (930 nucleotides) under Litchfieldella xinjiangensis. RNAcentral describes it as "bacterial SSU rRNA". It matches the Rfam family "Bacterial small subunit ribosomal RNA", at positions 56 to 978 of the family's 1533-position model. Lineage: Bacteria; Pseudomonadati; Pseudomonadota; Gammaproteobacteria; Oceanospirillales; Halomonadaceae. The record is from RNAcentral.
UGCAGUCGAGCGGCAGCGGGAGGUGCUUGCACCUCGCCGGCGAGCGGCGGACGGGUGAGUAAUGCAUAGGAAUCUGCCCGGUAGUGGGGGAUAACCUGGGGAAACCCAGGCUAAUACCGCAUACGUCCUACGGGAGAAAGCAGGGGCUCUUCGGACCUUGCGCUAUCGGAUGAGCCUAUGCCGGAUUAGCUAGUUGGUAGGGUAACGGCCUACCAAGGCGACGAUCCGUAGCUGGUCUGAGAGGAUGAUCAGCCACACUGGGACUGAGACACGGCCCAGACUCCUACGGGAGGCAGCAGUGGGGAAUAUUGGACAAUGGGCGCAAGCCUGAUCCAGCCAUGCCGCGUGUGUGAAGAAGGCUUUCGGGUUGUAAAGCACUUUCAGUGGGGAAGAAGGCCUGUCGGUUAAUACCCGGCAGGGACGACAUCACCCACAGAAGAAGCACCGGCUAACUCCGUGCCAGCAGCCGCGGUAAUACGGAGGGUGCGAGCGUUAAUCGGAAUUACUGGGCGUAAAGCGCGCGUAGGCGGCGUGAUAAGCCGGUUGUGAAAGCCCCGGGCUCAACCUGGGAACGGCAUCCGGAACUGUCGCGCUAGAGUGCAGGAGAGGAAGGUAGAAUUCCCGGUGUAGCGGUGAAAUGCGUAGAGAUCGGGAGGAAUACCAGUGGCGAAGGCGGCCUUCUGGACUGACACUGACGCUGAGGUGCGAAAGCGUGGGUAGCAAACAGGAUUAGAUACCCUGGUAGUCCACGCCGUAAACGAUGUCGACUAGCCGUUGGGCGCCUCGAGUGCUUAGUGGCGAAGUUAACGCGAUAAGUCGACCGCCUGGGGAGUACGGCCGCAAGGUUAAAACUCAAAUGAAUUGACGGGGGCCCGCACAAGCGGUGGAGCAUGUGGUUUAAUUCGAUGCAACGCGAAGAUCUUUACCUAC